ACGAACGCUGGCGGCGUGCUUAACACAUGCAAGUCGAACGGAAAGGCCCUGCUUUUGUGGGGUGCUCGAGUGGCGAACGGGUGAGUAACACGUGAGUAACCUGCCCUUGACUUUGGGAUAACUUCAGGAAACUGGGGCUAAUACCGGAUAGGAGCUCCUGCUGCAUGGUGGGGGUUGGAAAGUUUCGGCGGUUGGGGAUGGACUCGCGGCUUAUCAGCUUGUUGGUGGGGUAGUGGCUUACCAAGGCUUUGACGGGUAGCCGGCCUGAGAGGGUGACCGGACACAUUGGGACUGAGAUACGGCCCAGACUCCUACGGGAGGCAGCAGUGGGGAAUAUUGCACAAUGGGCGGAAGCCUGAUGCAGCAACGCCGCGUGCGGGAUGACGGCCUUCGGGUUGUAAACCGCUUUCGCCUGUGACGAAGCGUGAGUGACGGUAAUGGGUAAAGAAGCACCGGCUAACUACGUG
Molecule: ribosomal RNA, 467 nt
Filed under: uncultured bacterium
Lineage: Bacteria
Description: partial 16S ribosomal RNA
Rfam family: Bacterial small subunit ribosomal RNA
Source: RNAcentral